UACGAAGGGGGCUAGCGUUGCUCGGAAUCACUGGGCGUAAAGCGCACGUAGGCGGGUUGUUAAGUCGGGGGUGAAAUCCUGGAGCUCAACUCCAGAACUGCCUUCGAUACUGGCGACCUUGAGUCCGGGGAGAGGUGAGUGGAACUCCGAGUGUAGAGGUGAAAUUCGUAGAUAUUCGGAAGAACACCAGUGGCGAAGGCGGCUAACUGGUCCGGAUCUGACGCUGAGGUGCGAAAGCGUGGGGAGCAAACAGG
RNAcentral lists this ribosomal RNA (254 nucleotides) under uncultured bacterium. RNAcentral's name for it is "partial 16S ribosomal RNA". It matches the Rfam family "Bacterial small subunit ribosomal RNA", at positions 524 to 776 of the family's 1533-position model. The record is from RNAcentral.